AUUAGCUAUAGAGACAGGAAGCGUUUAUUCUGCUCUAAAUCUGGGGUUCUUAAGAUGCCGGUCUAUGGAGAUCGUCCAUGGAGACUUGCUUUUGAGGCCUGCUUCAAGUGGUAAUUUGAGGAAGUGCAGUGUUUUGCACUUUCACUUUUUCAUCUGCUUGCAUCUGCCACUGUUAACAUGGAUGAGUACGCGUGCUCAGAAUCAUGGGAAGCCAACCGUUGACCCAUGACUACGUACAUGUUGGGAUGAAGACUGAAACGUGGUCAAUAGCAGAUCAGGAGAUGCAACCCAUCCACAGAAACUUGGGGAGGAAAAGACUUCAGGAAAGAUGCAAAGGCCACGGCAGGAGGCGAGAACAGGGCCCGGAUAGAACCAUGAUCAGUGGAAACCUGUGAGACUGCUGGAUUGACUGUAACCGCGGGUAACCGUGACAUCUAGUGGCUCAAGUAGGAGGCAAACACCUGGAUGAGAAGCGCUUCCAUCCCCACGGCUACAAGGUAGAGUGACCGUGCAAACACUGUGAUGCUGUUCUUUUAGGGUAACAUGUACGAAAGCCCAUUUCUCCCAGUAGACAAAAAAAUGGGGGGGCAAACCCCCAAGUCCUGUACAUGGUGCACAUGCAGGCUGUCAUGUUAAAGCCAUUAGCAUGUUUGGCUGUGAACCCCCUUGAUUUUGCACGGCCCCCCAGGCACCGUGACAUCAUGUUAAAGGGGCACAAUUCAACAGUCAGCACAAAAUCAUUACGGCUCGAAUGCUGAGAGCUGAGCCUCUAUUUGGAC
This is a long non-coding RNA of Gasterosteus aculeatus aculeatus (three-spined stickleback), 779 nucleotides long. Lineage: Eukaryota; Metazoa; Chordata; Actinopteri; Perciformes; Gasterosteidae. The record is from Ensembl.